CUGAGACAAGGACCCAGGCCCUAUGGGGCGCAGCAGGCGAGGAAACUUUGCAAUGUGCGAAAGCACGACAAGGUUAAUCCGAGUGAUUUCUGCUAAAGAAAUCUUUUGCAAGUCAUAAAACCACUAGUGAAUGAGGGGUGGGCAAGUUCUGGUGUCAGCCGCCGCGGUAAAACCAGCACCUCAAGUGGUCAGGAGGAUUAUUGGGCCUAAAGCAUCCGUAGCCGGCUCUGUAAGUUUUCGGUUAAAUCCAUGUGCUCAACGCAUGGGCUGCCGAAAAUACUGCAUAGCUAGGGAGUGGGAGAGGUAGACGGUACUCGGUAGGAAGGGGUAAAAUCCUUUGAUCUAUCGAUGACCACCUGUGGCGAAGGCGGUCUACCAGAACACGUUCGACGGUGAGGGAUGAAAGCUGGGGGAGCAAACCGGAUUAGAUACCCGGGUAGUCCCAGCUGUAAACGAUGCAGACUCGAUGAUGCAUUGGCAUAUAGCCAGUGCAGUGUCGCAGGGAAGCCGUUAAGUCUGCCGCCUGGGAAGUACGUACGCAAGUAUGAAACUAAAGGAGCGGGCGGGGGAGCAG
Molecule: ribosomal RNA, 574 nt
Filed under: uncultured marine thaumarchaeote
Lineage: Archaea; Thermoproteati; Nitrososphaerota
Description: bacterial SSU rRNA
Rfam family: Archaeal small subunit ribosomal RNA
Source: RNAcentral